UUGUGCCGUCGUGAUGUCGUUGCCGUCGUCGCAUCCGUCGUCGUUGUCGUUGUUGUUGUCGCCGCACUCCAUCUAGUUGUUGUUGGUGCAGCAGGCAGUACAGCAACAGCAACCAAAUCACAUACCAGGCUUUGGCGCCAGCAAACAACAAUUAACGAAGCGAAAAGCAGCAACAAACAAACAAAAUGAGUUCGCUAAACGGAAAAUUAAUUUGCGCAUAUGGAAUGCUGCACACAUAGAUAUAUAUAGCCCUACAUACAAGCAUAUAUAUAGAUAUAUACGUAUAUGUUAUACACACACAAAUCUACAUAAAAUCUAAGUGCAAACCAAUUGUGAUUUAAGCUAAUGACCACAACUACAAAACAGCUCCAACAACCUACAAGAAAGUGUAUAAAAAAUUUUUCAAGUUUUUUAAGUAUAUGAAAUUUAAAUCAACCCUUGUAAAUAGCCAACAAAAUAACUAAAGAACAAGAACUCUUUUCUUAUAAAAAACAAAAAGAAAACAACAGCAUAUAAAACCAAAUAAAUUAACUCAACUAAGGAAAGCCACAAACAACGAACGAAUAGACAACGCCGUCUGCAGAGCAAUCUGAUAGAGAAAUGCAUUGCUAAACAGCUAGGGGCUACUUAUUUCCUUUCAACCCAGUGGCCUGCAAUUCGAAACGAUCUCAACGCAAAAAUGGCACUGCAACGCACUGGGCAGCAACAGCAACACAAGACGCAACUAACUCGACACGGGCUGCAGCAACAACAACAGCAAUUAGAAACAACAACAAAGGCCCGGCAACGAUAUAGAGCGUUGGAAAAAUGAAACAAAAGUCCGAAUCGAGUUUUCCACUAAAAUUUGCAUUCCGCCGAAGACAUACAAAGGUCUAAGCAAGGAGGAAGGAACCAAAACAAACAAACAAACCAACAAACUGAGCAGAAUAAGAAAGUCGCCAGUGAAAAGGGGUCAGAGGGCACACGCACACACACACACACAAGGGCUCAGAAAAAAAACCAAACACAGGAGCAGACCGCAACACAAGUAAAAGCAUACGGAGCGCAAAAAACACACAACACAUUCAACACACGGACACAGAAGGACGAGGAGUGCAUUGUAAACAAUUUUCAACGAAUUUCCAAAAGUCUACUAAAUAAAAUAACUAACAAGCGUUCAUUACGAAUAACAAAAGGAAACCAUAAAAUUUGAAAUUUGCUCUGUGAUUUUCUAUCGGAAAUGGUUAAGUAAUCCAAAAAAAUAAUUAUAUUUAAUAACAACGUAUUUAUAAAUACUGCGAAACUGCAUUCCAAGAAAAGUUUAUCAAAUCCCCCAAGAAAAGCUUUAAAUUCAAUCGAAAACGUAAAUCAACAAUUUCUAUGAAUAUAAGCAAGCAAACUUAUUACACUGCGACUAAGAAGACCAGCCAACGCUACUGAAAAAUCCAACUUCGACCACAACCACAAUUCUACCAAAGAACACCCGCACACCGGAGCCAUGGACGAAAUGCCCGACCUAUCACACCUCACCCCCCACGAGCGGAUGCAGAUCGAGAAUGUCCUUAUGCGGCAGAAGCAGGAGGAGGAGAAGCAGAACGAGAUCAUGCGACGCAAACAGGACGAGGUGGUGACGCUAGAAAUGCAAAUCAGACAGCGAUCCGAGCAGCAGAAGAAGGCCGGCGUCGAGCUGGAUGCCACCUGUCACAUAUGCCUUAAGACCAAGUUCGCAGACGGAGUUGGCCACAUCUGCCACUACUGCAACAUCCGCUGCUGCGCCAGGUGCGGCGGCAAGGUGACGCUCCGCAGCAACAAGGUCAUUUGGGUGUGCAUAUUGUGUCGCAAGAAGCAGGAACUGCUCUCCAAGACUGGCCAAUGGAUUAACAAGACGGCGGCCCAACAAGAUGGUUUCAUCCGACGCAUCGAGCCGGAUGGGAGCAGCGACAUCUCGCAGCAUCCCAUCGUGGACCCGCACGACACCACGGACAAGCGGCCCAAGCUGGAGAGGACGCGCAGUGCCGCCGAGAAGGAGAACCUACCCAUGCAGCGGGCGGGCAGCAUGCUGAGGCGCCAGUACUCGCAGCAGGAGCAGCCCACGAACCGCCGCCUCUCGGCAUCCGACAGCGGCAUGGAUCCCGUGAUGAGUCCUGGCCAGCAGAUGCAGCACCACCAGCAGCAGCAGCGAUCUCGAAUGCAGCCGAUGAAUCCGCAGCAGGCGCAGCAGGGAUACGGCGUGCAGCAGCAGCAGCAGCCGCGAUCCGGAGGCGCCUAUCCUGAUGAUGACCCCAGAUACUAUCAGGGUGAACUGGAUGGUUUGAUGAGGCAGCAUCCUCACUUGGCGCAUCCCAGUCAGGUGCAGCCGCAACAUCCGCCGCAGUCGCAGUCGCACUCGCAACAGCAGCAAUCCCAGCAUCAGCAGCAACAUCUUAUGCCGCAGCAACAUCGCCCAUCGCCGCAGCAACAUUCCCAGCAGCAGCAGCAACACUCGCAGCAAUUCGCGGCCAGGCAGCAGCAGCAGCACCAGCAGCAGCAUCAGCAGCACCAGCAGCACCAGCAGCAGCAUCAGCAGCAAGUGCAGCAAUCGUACCACGCGCAGAUCCACCAGCAGCCGCAGCAACAUCCCCCCUCGCAGCAGCAGCAGCAUCAGCCGCACCAGCAGAUGCAGCAGCCACAUGGCCAGCCAAUGCAGAUGGGCGGCUACCAGAAGCCGCCACCCCUGACCCGCAACCUGACCAUCAGCGGUGGUCAUGCGAUGGACUCCAGUGCCUACAGCCAGCAACAGCAGCAGCAGCGACGAGCUCUCUCAGGAUCGCAGUACGCCUCGCAGCAGCAGAGGUCCUUCAGCAGCUCCGAGGAGGAGUUCCAGCACCAGCUGUUGGCUGCCCAGGGCGCAGUGACGGUCACCGCGGGAUCGGACUAUGACGGCGGGCGCCUCCAGGUGCGCACCUCAUUGGAUCCGUGGCGCCAGCAGCGCAGCCUCAACGAACGGGAUCUGCUCAGCAGCGGCGGCGGUGGUGGUGGCGUCGGUGGGGCUGACUUCCGCCACCUGUCGAACGCCACCCAGCGGCUGUACGCCUCCGCCGAUCAGCGGGAUCGCUACGAACUGCAGCUGCAGCACCGCGAGCGUCUGGAGCAGUAUCCCCUCACGCGUACCGCUCGCCUGGACGUCCAGCAGCGCAACUCGCUGAACCGCAGCAACCACGAGCGGCAGUUUUCUGGCGGCGGACCAGGCGGAGGGCCAGGAGGAGCGGGUGGUGGUGGUGCUGCUGGCGUCUACCGACGUGCCCCGCCCUUGGCAGCCGCCGGCGGCGGUGGCAGCAGCAGCAGCAGCACCACUAGCAGCAGCUACUAUCCCCAGUCGAAGCCGCAGAUUGUGAUUGGUCCGGGAUCGGGCUACGAACGGGGAUCGGGAUCCAUGGCUUCCAUGGCAUCGGCAUCGGCAGCGGCGGCGACAGCGGCGGACGCCCAAGGUCAGGCGGUGCGGGGCAGCCAGCGUGGUGGUCUGCUGGGCGCCACGAGAGGCGGCGGUGGCAGCAGUUCCGUCAGUUCGACGGAGGCUGCCUACUGGGACGAACCGGCUACCAGUUCCUCCUCAUCGGCGGCCCAAGACUCGCGGCGAUUCACCGAGCGUAGAAUAAAGAAAACGGUGCGUUUCGAUGCCCACGACGAAGAGGCCUCCAUACUGGCCAGCAGUUCACUGCCACCGGUCACGGCAAUCCUGCCCUCCACGGCCGUGGAUGUGGGUGCAGCCACAAUUCUGAGCAGUGGAAAGAGCCUAGAUACCAGCGGAGUUGGCGGAGCUGACUGGUCGCGAUGGGAGACCGAGCGACAGGGAAGCCAGGACUCGGCCACCAAGGAUUCGGGCAUCGAUACCAGCAGCACGUUCACCAGCAGCGAGGACUCCAAUCGAGGAGAUGGGCCCAAGAAUCCGGUGAAUUGGCAAACAUCCGCGGACAAUACUCGCCUGAUCGGGCACAUGAUAUUGCGUAAAUACUAUGAUGGGGAGGAUAUAUUAGGCUUAAAGGUGAACGGCGGUCAGCCCCUCGCAACGGGAGGAUCGGGAGCGGGAACGGGAGCAGCGGUAGGAGCAGGAGGUCCAUGCGGGGCCAUUGUGGAGAAGGUGAAGCGCGGAUCGGUGGCCGAUCUCGAGGGAAGGAUUCGACCAGGCGACGAGAUCCUCGAGUGGAAUGGCCGCGGGCUGCACAACAAAAGUGCCGACGAGGUCUACGACAUCAUCGACGAGAGUCGCCUCGACGCCCAGGUGGAACUGAUCGUCAGCCGGCCGAUCGGCAGCGGCGGCGGCAGUGGCGGGAGCAGCAGCAACGUCAGUCCCAUCAGCGGAGCCUCCGGCGGAUCCGCCAACAGCGUCUCCGCUCGCCGCUCCUCGGCCAACUUCCCGCACAGCGGAUUGGCAAGCAGCAUGGCCGGCAGUGCGGUGGUCAGCAGCGGGGGAAGAUAUCUGCAGCGCAAAGCUCCCGCGGUCGAGGCCAUUGAAAUCCAUCGGGACAAGCCGAGCGUGCUAAUCACCUCGCCCGGCUCGCCGGACAUCCACACCAGUGUUUCCGGACCGGGAUCGGUAUCAGGAUCAGGACUCCGGCAACGUGGCGGCGUCGGGCAGACGCAGCGCCUGGGACCAAGCCACAGCACCCACAGCCACAGCAGCAGCGGGAGUGGCAGCGGCAGCGGCAGCAGCACUAGCAGCGUCCACGCCCCCGCCUCCGCCCACGGCCCCGCCCACGCGUUGUCGUCCGCUUCCGGUUCCGCCCCUGGCGGCCUGCACGGCACAACGACGGCGGGCCACCAUUACCACCCGCACCCGCACCACUACCACCCGCACCAGCAUCCGUAUCCGCCCGCCGCCCACCUACAAGGCCAAGGGGUGGGCGGUGGCACCGGCACCGGCAUCGGCAUGGGCAGCGGAACCGGCACCACCACACAGCCCAUCCCCAUCGAGGGGCGGCUGCAGCUGAAGCUGGGCUACGACCAGAACACCCUGCAGCUGAUUGUGACCCUGGUCUGCGCCACCGGACUCUCCCUGCGCCAGAGCGGAGCGGGCCGCAAUCCAUAUGCAAAAGUGUUCCUUCUGCCCGAUCGAAGCCACAAAUCCAAGCGGCGGACGAAGACGGUGGGCACCACAUGCGAACCCCGAUGGGGCCAGACCUUUGUCUACUCGGGUCUGAGACGCUGCGACCUCAACGGCCGACUGCUCGAGAUAACGCUGUGGGACUAUGUGCGGUAUGGCGCCAACGACUUCAUCGGCGAGGUGGUCAUCGAUCUGGCGCACCACAUCCUGGACGACGAGGCCGAGUGGUAUCAGCUGCAGCCCCACCAGGACACCUCCUAUCUCUUACGUGACGAGGGCAGCGAUGUGGACGGCCUGAUACUGACACCGACAGAUCAUUUAUCACCGCCGAGCACCGUGUCGCGCCUUAGUGAUUCGGACACCACGUCCGACUGCGACAUCGAUGGAAUGACUCCGGGGGCCAGCAUCUCGUCCAUGGGCAGCUCAGCGAGUCCGCCGCCCCUGCUAGAGCUCGAUCUAAACGAGCGUCGGUCCCGACGUGACAUGUCGCCCCAGGGCCGCAAAAGGGUGGCCGGGAUGGUGGCCCGCGACUACCGCACUGUAUCUGGCAUUGGACAAAGUUACCACAAUCAGGCCUCUGCCACCGGCUACUAUCGUCGCGGAGGUGGUAACGGUGUCGGCUCCGCCAUCGGUCCCGGUGGCAUGAGCCUUAGCCAGCGGAGUCACUCGGCGGCACCUAGCGACGGUUACCACAGCAGCAGCGGCGUAGUAGGAGGAGUUCCCUCCGGUGGUUCCGCCUACGGCUAUCGGAGCACCAGUCCCCGGCGGGGCUCCUUGUCGCCACCCGACGACCGUUACAUAGACUAUCCAGUGCUUCCAGUACACGGCUCCUCGCCCAACGCCCCAUCGGUCUACCAGGGACCGGGUGGUGCGUCCUCAGCGGCGGCGUCUGCUUCGCAGCAGCAGCGAUUCCAGUCGCGCUCGGCCACAGCUACGCCCACAGGGUCCCCAAAGAAGAGGCAACUACCACAGGUGCCGCAGACCUCCCGCAGUGCGAUGCUGCGAGAUCGACUGGGUCAGGACUUCGACGAGCGGUUGGCCUCGGGUGGUCGCUUCGGGCGGCACCGCACACGGCAGCCGCACCACCAGGCGACCUACCGCAGCACCGGAAUGGGUGGAUGGGAGCGCCACUACACGGGUCUGUCGGAUAGCGACCUGCACUCUAUGGACGCGCGGAUGCGACCAAGACACUCGCUGUCGCCGGACAAGGACUUCAUGGGCGAGUUCGGCGACUCGGACAUGGAGUCGGUAGUCAGCGUGACCUCCAGCGCCUUCUCCACGCAGUCGGAGCGGCCGCGCACGUCGCGCGGACUCAGCUUCCCCCGCAACUGGCGCAAUCUCUUUGGCGUUCGAAACAGUUUCCUCGGGGGAGCAGGAGGCGAACCCAUCACUGGACUGCGGCUACACCACUCGGAGCCCGGAAGGGCCAACACCAUCGAAGUGGAUGACUGCGACUAUCUGCCGGCGGGCGGUGCCCAGCAGUUGGUGUUGCUGGAGCAGCUGGAGCAACUGCAGCAGCUGGCCGCUCUGGCGGCAGCAGACUCUCCACCCAUUUCGGCGGGAAUUGGAUUACAGCCACCUCACCAGGUUUUGGUGACUGAUGCCAACAGCGGCCAGCUGGUGGAACAAUUCUACGUUGAGCCCGGCACAAUGGCCGAGGAGAUGAUGGAGCCACUCGAUCCACUCGAUCCCCAUGCGCAUUUGCAUCCACAUCCCGUCUUUUACUCGCCAUCGCCCCAUUUGCCACCACAGCCAUUCAACAUCGAUAUCGAUACCAUCUAUCCACCACGACGGUCCAACGGACAGAAACCGAACGUACAAGCCACCGCCGCUGCCUUUCCGCUGCCGCUGCUGCCGAGCUUUGAGCAAUUCAAGCGCAUUACCACGCCCAUCACGAAUUUCUUCCGCAGCUCCUCACCCGCGGGCGUUCACCCCCACGCCCACGACCACGCCUCUACGACGCCCAGUUCGCUGGUGGGCUAUGUGCGCGACCACCAGGACAAGAGCUGCAGCCACUGCCAGAAUGGAAGUCAGCCGGUGGUGCUCUCCACGCACCACACCCUUCACCUGACCGCCGCAGGUCUGGCGAUCGGCGCUUGCCAGGAUCCCUGCUGUCUGGCGGAUGCCCAUCCGCACCCGCAGCACCAGCCCAUGGGCUAUGGGGAGCCACCCACUUCGGAUCCUGCAAUGUGCGGAGAGUGUGUGGAUCAGCACUUCCUGGGCGGACUAACGGGACCGCAACUGAAUCUCGGUGUGGUUCCCACUUACCAUGUCCACACGCCCACUCCGAAUGCCCAUCGGCGUGCUAGGGGACAAAUGGCCACGCCUGCACCACCGCCCACACAGUCGGUGCUGCGCCUUUCGCGCCAGUUGAGCGAAGAUGCUCUCGUUGCUGCCGUUCCCAUUUCGGAGUCCAAGGCGCAACCAACUUCGAUCCUGAAGAAACCGAAGCUGGAGCGAAGGCGACUUUUUCACGAAGGACAAUCCCGGUCGCUAGACUACGAUGAUCUGCACACGAAGAGCUGGGGUCGACGUCGCAUUCGGUACGAGGACGAGGUAAUGCCCUCGUCUGUGGACUAUCCGUAUCCCCACCCGAAUCCGUAUGUCAGCCACUCACCCACAGCGGCGAUGUCGCGGCGCUACGGCUCGGAGACCAAUAUUCGACAGAGUUAUAUGGGUGCAAAUGUGGAUGCCAACCAUCCGCUGAGUCACUCGCAUUUCCUGGUAACCGAUGACAAGAUAGUGACUAUUACCUAUGACUCCGAUGUGGGCUGGACGCGACGGGGCGUGGCUCCGUCGCUCUUUCGCGGAGCUCAUCGUCAACGCGGACUGGCGGAUCCCAGGAAUUACAUGUCGCUGGAUUUGCAGCGAACGAGUCAACAGAAGUUGUACGGACCGGCGGCGCCGUAUCUGAAGCGUCGCAGGAAUCUGCCGCAUCCGCCCAGUGCGCAGAAUGCCCACAACUUUUCACCAAUGGAGCCGGGAUCAGAAAUGGAUGGGCUGAAUGCUGCAGCAGCGGGAAUGGUGGAACAGGGCAACGGAAUGGGUAGCGGUGGUGCACAUAACACUACCAGUACACACAAUAGCAACCACCACACCAACCACCACAAUAGCCAAGCGAGUAGUGUUAGUGUUAGCCAAAGUCACGAUCAACAACUUCAACAACAACAACAAUUACAACAACAACCAGUUAGGCAAAAAGGGAAAGAAGGCACCACCGCCAUUAGCGGAUCGAUGAUGGCAUCGGAGCAGCUGACGAAAUCUAGUAGUGGGAGCGGUGGUGCAACAUCUGCUGCCGCUGCUGGGCAUCUUGUCGUCGGUGGUACUAAUGCUAAUAAUGCUUCUUCUUCCUCUUUUGCAAAUCCCCAACCAACACCACAACAACAACAACUUCAUGGAUCACCCAACAAUCUCAACAACAAUAACAAACGUGCCCCAUCAUCAACACCACAACAAAACACGAACACCAUAAAUGACGCCAACAACCUGACGCUUGACGCCACACAUCAACAAUCACAACAACGACAAUUACAACAACCACCAAAUACAUGCACAAAUCAAAACACGAAUCCAACAACCACAUUAACAACAACAACCACAACAUCGUCGAAUGCAACGAAUGCGGCGACAACGACAACCGCAAAUGCAACAAAUGCUACAACAACUGCCACAAAUUCAACAACGAAUAACACGAACGAACCAAACGCAACAACAACAACCACAACGAACGCUAAUGUUGACGCCGAUACGGACGCGGACGCGGAUGCUCCGCUGGACGCCAUCGACUGGGAUGCCAUCGAUGCGAUGCUGGACGACGACUUCAGCGAGUACGACAAGGACAAGAACGGGGCCGACGAGGCUGGUGGCGCCAAGUCAGCGGAGAGUGCGUGUGCCGAAGAUAAAGUCGAUGGCAGCCUCUCGGACACCGCGAACGAUCGAAAGAAGGGCGGCGGCGUCGACCAGGAGCGAUCCCCAAAAGGAGGCAGCGGCAUGGGCAAGAAGUCGAACUCAACCUCGCAGCUUUCGGCCACAGGUCGUAAAAGACGUAUGGGCUUUGGAAAGAAGGGUAAGAACUCGUUCACGGUGCAUCGCAGCGAAGAAGUGCUGCCUGGCGAUAUAACGCGGGAACUGCGAACCGGUGGCGGAUUGGGCGUCAGUCUUGGCGGUGCCGGUGGUGCCGCCGGUGGGUCAGGUGGUGCCGGCGGGGGCGGCCUGUCCCGCGGCUCGUCCUCGGAGGCGGACGCCAUCGAACAGUUCUUUGGCGAUGGUGCCGGCGGGGAAAGAUUCUCCCCUUCUUUGCGCAACGAUGGAGCCCUCAAUGAGUUCGUGGAUGGCCUGGGACCUGGUCAACUGGUUGGUCGCCAGGUGCUGGGAGCUCCCUCGCUGGGCGACAUCCAGCUUUCGCUGUGCCACCAAAAGGGCUGUCUGGAGGUGGAGGUUAUACGUGCCAGGGGCUUACAGCAAAAAGCCCAGUCAAAAAUGCUGCCUGCUCCGUAUGUAAAGGUGUACCUAGUGUCGGGAAAGCGCUGUGUGGACAAGAUGAAGACUUCCUCGGCUCGACGCACCCUGGAUCCACUGUACCAGCAGCAGUUGGUGUUCAAGCAGUCCUACACCGGUUGCAUACUGCAGAUUACCGUGUGGGGCGACUAUGGCCGCAUCGAGAAGAAGGUGUUUAUGGGCGUGGCGCAGAUAAUGCUCGACGAUCUGAAUUUGUCGAAUAUCGUGAUCGGCUGGUACAAGCUCUUUGGCACCACCUCACUGGGUCGUCCGAUUGUUUGGGCCGGCGAAUCAGUCAUUAUGGAGGAGCCGGGCGAAUAACAGUUUCCAACACUAACGACACCCAAACAAACAGCCUCCACAACGAAAACAUUUUAAGCACCCAAGCACAAUUCAAUUCAAGCGAACUUUAAACUGAACUGAAUUUAUAACCAUUCGCCAGUGCUGUCAGCCCGGCAGCCAAAUAGCAAAGGACCAAAGGACAUCCUGCAUCGGUGGAUCCCAGAGGAAGCCGCCCGAUCCUCAUUCGGCAGGUCGCUGGCCUAAGCUAAGUCCACAUCGGUUGAUUUUCUAUUCUACGGCGGCGAAAGACUUUGGAAGAAUAAAAAAUUUAAAUAAUGAUAAAUAUCUAAUUUUUAUAAGUCAUGAAAACAAAUGCAUUUAAAUAAACCGAGAUCAGAAAACAGAGAACACAAGAGCAGAGCAGAGCAGAGCAGAGCAGACUCAGUAAAAUGUUUAAAACGUAACUACGGAAUAAAGCUAAACGAUAAAGGUAGAGGCAGUCUAUGUAUACAUAUACACAUACAAUAACGGAUAACAUUUGACAAAAGGAUACUUGUAAAUUAUGCAUAUUUAAAAUAAUUUUUAUUACACACCUAGAUCACUAUUAUUUUCGUAAUACGAUUACUACGAUUAUUAUUACUUAAACUAUUACUGAUAAAAGCAUAAAAAAACAAAAAAAAGAACAAAAAGAACAAAGAACAAGGAGAAGGUGGAUAAAGUUCAAAUGCUAGUGUCAGUCAUGCCUAAGCCUUAGCCUGAGCAGAGACGCAGAAGGAUAUAAAUUGUUUAUUGAAUAAAUAGCUAAAUCUAAAUCAGUAAAGGGAGUUAUAGAUUUUCAGAGACGGGAGUUAUUUAAGUAUAUAUACACACAUAUAUAAAUAGAUAUAUACAUCAAUAUAUUUACUGUAUAAGCAAGCAAAGAACCACUAACACUUAAAUAAGCCUAACUUACGAUAAAACCGAUAAAGUUAAAGCUUAAGAUUAGGUAACUAAAAGGAAGGGACAUGAGAUAUGUAUUAAUCUAACAAAAAUAACAACAAAUAUUUACCAGGCCAGAAAGACGAGAAAGUUUAACUUAAUAAUGCAAAAUCUGAACCUAAGCUGUACAUAGGAGAUCCACACACGUUACAUGUACACCACAUCCGGAUAUCCGACUACUAAACCAACUACCGCUUCCCCGAUUUGAGGCUAUAUAGCUUUUGGUUCGCUCUGCGCCACCUUAAAAAACUCCGCAGUCACCCCAAAAUGUGCGAGUUUUUGACGUCGGCGAUGAGGAUAUAAACAUAUUUGAGGCAAAAAGUAUCGUUUAAUUUAACUUAACUUAAAGCAUUGGAAAGCUAUCUCUCUAUAUGAAUAUAUUAUAAAGCGAUUUUGUUGUAGCUCCCCUCGCUUCACUAGUCGCUUUAGCAUCCUUUUGCCGCCUUGGUUCCAAUCAACUUGCCUCGAAACGCAUCAAGUACCUUCAAGUUAAUAGUGUGAGCUGUAAAAAUCGUUACCUGCUUGCCAAAGAUACACGUACACGUACAUACAUUAGCAUAUUUAUA
RNA transcript from Drosophila yakuba, 11382 nucleotides. It is a transcript of the gene named regulating synaptic membrane exocytosis protein 2, with no coding region annotated. The record is from RefSeq and is a predicted model, not a curated record. Lineage: Eukaryota; Metazoa; Arthropoda; Insecta; Diptera; Drosophilidae. The transcript is spliced from 25 exons.